Molecule: ribosomal RNA, 355 nt
Filed under: uncultured soil bacterium
Lineage: Bacteria
Description: bacterial SSU rRNA
Rfam family: Bacterial small subunit ribosomal RNA
Source: RNAcentral
AGAACGAACGCUGGCGGCAUGCCUAAUACAUGCAAGUCGAACGAACACUUCGGUGUUAGUGGCGCACGGGUGCGUAACGCGUGGGAAUCUGCCCUUGGGUUCGGAAUAACAGUUGGAAACGACUGCUAAUACCGGAUGAUAUCGAAAGAUCAAAGAUUUAUCGCCCAGGGAUGAGCCCGCGUAGGAUUAGCUAGUUGGUGAGGUAAAGGCUCACCAAGGCGACGAUCCUUAGCUGGUCUGAGAGGAUGAUCAGCCACACUGGGACUGAGACACGGCCCAGACUCCUACGGGAGGCAGCAGGUAGGGAAUAGUUGGACAAUGGGCGCAAGCCUGAUCCAGCAAUGCGCGUGAGUGA